Molecule: ribosomal RNA, 253 nt
Filed under: uncultured prokaryote
Description: partial 16S ribosomal RNA
Rfam family: Bacterial small subunit ribosomal RNA
Source: RNAcentral
GACGUAGGGGGCGAGCGUUAUUCGGAAUUAUUGGGCGUAAAGCGCUCGUAGGCGGGACCGAAAGUCGGUGAGGAAAGACCUGGGCUCAACUCAGGGAACUGCAUCGAUACUUCGGUUCUUGAGGUAAUCAGAGGGUGAUGGAAUUCCCGGUGUAGCGGUGAAAUGCGUAGAUAUCUGGAGGAACACCGGUGGCGAAGGCGGCAUCCUGGACCGGCAUUGACGCUGAGGAGCGAAAGCCAGGGGAGCAAACGGG